UUUUUUUUUCCCCUACUUGGCACAUUAUUUGUAAUGGUAUUGGAUUUUAAUAUAGGAAAUGUAUCUUAAACUGACAGAGCAAUUCCUUGACAAUCUGUAUUAGUGAAAUAGUGUUUUGGGGGCCUCCAGUUCUGGCUUGAAGUCCCCUAAUUUUAGCUGAUUUCAGUCCUCCACAGCUCCAGAGAUCUUUUCUUUGUUUCAUUUGUACUGGAAAAAAUCACAGCCUCCCAGAAAAACACCUUACAUAGCUUGUAAUGCACUUAGUCCCCGUAGGUAGGCUCUUGCUGUGUCAAGGUCUCUGGCUUAAUAAUAAUCCUGCAAUUUUAUUCUAUAAAUUUUCUGGCUUGAUAGGGGCUUUGCUGAUUAAUGUUGUCAGAAUGGGAUGUGCUGAAAAACACCUUCUGAUGCAUUACAUGAAGGGCUCAAUCUAACAGAUGUACAAGAUCAGUUUAUUGUCAUGUUCUUUUACCAGGAAAAGUCAAGACUCUGGGCUAAAUCAAUCGUGCAAUUUGUUUAAUAUGAAGUUUGAUUUUGCUUGAGUCAGACCUCACCGGUCUUUUUCUUUCUCUAAGGCAUGCUAAUAAGUUUCUUUUUAAGUUUCCGAUUUCCUUUUUUUUCUCCUAGAUUUGCUUCUCCUGCUGUGAGUGAGUUAUUUGAAGGAUAUUUAUUCAUAAAGUAGGUUCUUUCCUGUCUGGACUGAAUGAAAAUAUCUUGUGGAUUCUUCUGACUUUUUCAGAAGUAUUUUGAUCCGAACACUUUAUGUACAACAAAAGUCUCACAACUACUGAGCAGGUGCAUUUGCUUUGAUGAAACUUCUAAAUCUUGUGUUAUGAAAUAUGGAAAUGCUCUGGUGUCCAGGUCGAAAAUAUAAAGAUACUUAGAUUUAAUACGCAAGAAUUAAAUCUUCAAAAAAACCCCACAUUACAUCCUUGCAGAAAAUAGAUCUUUAUCCGGAAACAUCAUGUUCAAAGGAUCUAGUUUUGAACAUGGAUAAAAGAGAUGUCUAUGAUAAUUCAUAUUGGGUUCCUGGUUAUUAAGAAACUAUGUCUAUAAUUACAUAUUCUGGAAUUAAAUCCACACCACUAACUUUUUUUCUUUUUGUAACUGCUGCCUGGUUAUCCUUGUGCUGUCUACAACCAGUUGAAAAGGGGUCUUCAUGCUCUGCAAUGUUUUACAUGAUGUGUUGGGUGUAGGUGUUGGCAAUGGAGGGGCUGCAGGGUCAGCUUCGGAGAGGAGAGGCCGGGGCUGCCCCACGCUGGCUCCAACUCACCCACCACAGGGCACAGCCCGGCAUCUCAGCCAAAAUAGCGGCACCUUGGGGCCAUUUUUUGUCACCAUUUCUCAUUACCAAGAUCUGUUUUAGCUGGCAAUAAAUGAAACUAAUCCUCCCCAA
This 1393-nucleotide long non-coding RNA is filed under the name Strigops habroptila (Kakapo). Its description in RNAcentral is "lncRNA (ENSSHBG00005009615.1)". The record is from RNAcentral. Lineage: Eukaryota; Metazoa; Chordata; Aves; Psittaciformes; Psittacidae.